GUGCCAGCAGCGGCGGUAAUACGGAGGAUCCGAGCGUUAUCCGGAUUUAUUGGGUUUAAAGGGUGCGUAGGCGGCGUGCUAAGUCAGGGGUGAAAGACGGUGGCUCAACCAUCGCAGUGCCUUUGAUACUGGUGCGCUUGAAUGCGGAUGAGGUAGGCGGAAUGUGGCAAGUAGCGGUGAAAUGCAUAGAUAUGCCACAGAACACCGAUUGCGAAGGCAGCUUACCAAGGCGCGAUUGACGCUGAUGCACGAAAGCGUGGGAUCGAACAGGAUUAGAUACCCUGUAGUCCACGCCCUAAACGAUGAUGAACUCGGUGUCGGCGAU
Molecule: ribosomal RNA, 325 nt
Filed under: uncultured Parapedobacter sp.
Lineage: Bacteria; Pseudomonadati; Bacteroidota; Sphingobacteriia; Sphingobacteriales; Sphingobacteriaceae
Description: bacterial SSU rRNA
Rfam family: Bacterial small subunit ribosomal RNA
Source: RNAcentral